Molecule: ribosomal RNA, 478 nt
Filed under: uncultured bacterium
Lineage: Bacteria
Description: SSU rRNA
Rfam family: Bacterial small subunit ribosomal RNA
Source: RNAcentral
AGGACGAACGCUGGCGGCGUGCUUAACACAUGCAAGUCGAGCGAGGCCCGUCCUUCGGGACGGUGCCCUAGCGGCGAACGGGUGAGUAACACGUGGGCAACCUGCCCCUAGCACUGGGAUAACUCCGGGAAACCGGGGCUAAUACCGGAUAUGACCUUUGAGGGCAUCCUCGAAGGUGUAAAGGAUUCUGGCUAGGGAUGGGCCCGCGGCCUAUCAGCUUGUUGGUGGGGUAAUGGCCUACCAAGGCGACGACGGGUAGCCGGCCUGAGAGGGCGACCGGCCACACUGGGACUGAGACACGGCCCAGACUCCUACGGGAGGCAGCAGUGGGGAAUAUUGCACAAUGGGCGAAAGCCUGAUGCAGCGACGCCGCGUGAGGGAUGACGGCCUUCGGGUUGUAAACCUCUUUCAGCAGGGACGAAGCGAAAGUGACGGUACCUGCAGAAGAAGCACCGGCCAACUACGCGCCAGCAGCCGC